This 497-nucleotide ribosomal RNA is filed under the name uncultured bacterium. Its description in RNAcentral is "partial 16S ribosomal RNA". It matches the Rfam family "Bacterial small subunit ribosomal RNA", at positions 28 to 507 of the family's 1533-position model. The record is from RNAcentral.
GAUGAACGCUGGCGGCGUGCCUAAUACAUGCAAGUCGAGCGAACAGACGAGGAGCUUGCUCCUCUGACGUUAGCGGCGGACGGGUGAGUAACACGUGGAUAACCUACCUAUAAGACUGGGAUAACUUCGGGAAACCGGAGCUAAUACCGGAUAAUAUAUUGAACCGCAUGGUUCAAUAGUGAAAGACGGUUUUGCUGUCACUUAUAGAUGGAUCCGCGCCGCAUUAGCUAGUUGGUAAGGUAACGGCUUACCAAGGCAACGAUGCGUAGCCGACCUGAGAGGGUGAUCGGCCAAAAUGGAACUGAGACAAGGGCCAGACUCCUAAGGGAGGCAGCAGUAGGGAAUCUUCCGCAAUGGGCGAAAGCCUGACGGAGCAACGCCGCGUGAGUGAUGAAGGUCUUCGGAUCGUAAAACUCUGUUAUUAGGGAAGAACAAAUGUGUAAGUAACUAUGCACGUCUUGACGGUACCUAAUCAGAAAGCCACGGCUAACUACGUG